This 1372-nucleotide ribosomal RNA is filed under the name uncultured bacterium. Its description in RNAcentral is "bacterial SSU rRNA". It matches the Rfam family "Bacterial small subunit ribosomal RNA", at positions 28 to 1381 of the family's 1533-position model. The record is from RNAcentral.
GAUGAACGCUGGCGGCGUGCCUAAUACAUGCAAGUCGAGCGAACGGACGAGAAGCUUGCUUCUCUGAUGUUAGCGGCGGACGGGUGAGUAACACGUGGAUAACCUACCUAUAAGACUGGGAUAACUUCGGGAAACCGUAGCUAAUACCGGAUAAUAUUUUGAACCGCAUGGUUCAAAAGUGAAAGACGGUCUUGCUGUCACUUAUAGAUGGAUCCGCGCUGCAUUAGCUAGUUGGUAAGGUAACGGCUUACCAAGGCAACGAUGCAUAGCCGACCUGAGAGGGUGAUCGGCCACACUGGAACUGAGACACGGUCCAGACUCCUACGGGAGGCAGCAGUAGGGAAUCUUCCGCAAUGGGCGAAAGCCUGACGGAGCAACGCCGCGUGAGUGAUGAAGGUCUUCGGAUCGUAAAACUCUGUUAUUAGGGAAGAACAUAUGUGUAAGUAACUGUGCACAUCUUGACGGUACCUAAUCAGAAAGCCACGGCUAACUACGUGCCAGCAGCCGCGGUAAUACGUAGGUGGCAAGCGUUAUCCGGAAUUAUUGGGCGUAAAGCGCGCGUAGGCGGUUUUUUAAGUCUGAUGUGAAAGCCCACGGCUCAACCGUGGAGGGUCAUUGGAAACUGGAAAACUUGAGUGCAGAAGAGGAAAGUGGAAUUCCAUGUGUAGCGGUGAAAUGCGCAGAGAUAUGGAGGAACACCAGUGGCGAAGGCGACUUUCUGGUCUGUAACUGACGCUGAUGUGCGAAAGCGUGGGGAUCAAACAGGAUUAGAUACCCUGGUAGUCCACGCCGUAAACGAUGAGUGCUAAGUGUUAGGGGGUUUCCGCCCCUUAGUGCUGCAGCUAACGCAUUAAGCACUCCGCCUGGGGAGUACGACCGCAAGGUUGAAACUCAAAGGAAUUGACGGGGACCCGCACAAGCGGUGGAGCAUGUGGUUUAAUUCGAAGCAACGCGAAGAACCUUACCAAAUCUUGACAUCCUUUGACAACUCUAGAGAUAGAGCCUUCCCCUUCGGGGGACAAAGUGACAGGUGGUGCAUGGUUGUCGUCAGCUCGUGUCGUGAGAUGUUGGGUUAAGUCCCGCAACGAGCGCAACCCUUAAGCUUAGUUGCCAUCAUUAAGUUGGGCACUCUGAGUUGACUGCCGGUGACAAACCGGAGGAAGGUGGGGAUGACGUCAAAUCAUCAUGCCCCUUAUGAUUUGGGCUACACACGUGCUACAAUGGACAAUACAAAGGGCAGCGAAACCGCGAGGUCAAGCAAAUCCCAUAAAGUUGUUCUCAGUUCGGAUUGUAGUCUGCAACUCGACUACAUGAAGCUGGAAUCGCUAGUAAUCGUAGAUCAGCAUGCUACGGUGAAUACGUUCCCGGGUCU